Molecule: transfer RNA, 64 nt
Filed under: Tympanophyllum maximum
Lineage: Eukaryota; Metazoa; Arthropoda; Insecta; Orthoptera; Tettigoniidae
Description: tRNA-Thr
Rfam family: tRNA
About the family: Transfer RNA (tRNA) molecules are approximately 80 nucleotides in length. Their secondary structure includes four short double-helical elements and three loops (D, anti-codon, and T loops).
Source: RNAcentral
GUUUUAAUAGUUUAAAAAAAACAUUGGUCUUGUAAACCACAGUUAAAGUUUACUUUUUAAAACU